Molecule: long non-coding RNA, 971 nt
Organism: Rhododendron vialii
Lineage: Eukaryota; Viridiplantae; Streptophyta; Magnoliopsida; Ericales; Ericaceae
Exons: 2
Source: RefSeq, a predicted model, not a curated record
GUGCAAUUCGUUUCUUCUCAAUGCUUCUGCUUCACUGUGGUUCGUCACAGCUCCAGGGAAAUCCUCCAUUGUUGGGGCUUGAAUUCAAUUCAACGUGUAUCCGUUACACAUGCUAAAUACUACUCUUCUUGGGAAAACCAGCUCAGUUGAUUAUGUACUAGGAUUGAAGAUUUCUCCUGAUUAUGUUGACAAAACCUAGGGUACAUAUCAAAUAAUUACUGUCUUAUGUCUCUUAUCUACCAUGGGGGGCAGAUAUGCAUUCAUAGCAACUAUCAGAUGCUAAUUCCUUUGUAUCCUUCCUAGGUUUUGUGUUAGUUACUAGCAAAUCAACUGCUUUUCUGGACCAAAUGCUAAUUCAUCAAUUUCCCAUCGUUUCUUCGCGUAGGUACUUCUAGAUUUCAUCUUACUGGGAUAACUGGUCUGCUUUCUCGUUAUGAGGGGAGAGAGUGUUGAUGGAAAUGGAUGGAACCAGUCCCCGUAUGGAAUCCGUUCAAUAGAUUUUUGACUUGCUCAGACUGCAAACUACACUCAAGACGAGAUUAAAAAAAAAAAAACUACACUCCUUUCUUCUAGCCUCUAUUAUCAUCACUUUCAUUUCAAAGCAAAGGUGUCUAAAGAAGGUAUAGUACUUCCUAUCUUGCCUAUGCAAAUGAUUUGUGCUCCUUGGGUUAGGUAUUUUUGCCCUCAGUAUUAGUGCUUGUUCCUCAAUCCGUAGCUAUUUCAAGGGAAGGACAGGCGGAAAAUUGUCCAUGGCGGUGGUCAACAUUGAGGGCAAACUGCCUAUUGGUUGGCCAUUUUGUAAGUCCAAACCUGGUUGCCUCAUGUGUCAAAUUACACACCCAUUAUGCUUAGAUGGAUCUGCUAUUCCUUUUAUGAUAUUGCAACUGCAGUUAGUCACUUUGUGUUAAUACUCAAUUUAUGGGUAUUUUUAUGUAAGUAUUUUGUUUAAUGUUAAUGUGCUGUUAUUUCUC